GUAUUGAUUGCGUAUCGCAAAGUGGGGUCAUUCUACACUUUUUAAAAGGGGUUUGUGUGAAAACGCAAGCCCCCUCCUGGAUCGAUUCGAUCCCGAAGGGCACCCACGCGGUGGUGCACAAAAGGGUGAGAUGGAUUUUAUGUGAGAGGACGCACUCCGGCGUGCACGACUUUUGUGUCUCAAAAAGUCAGCGACAGCCCUCGCGCCUCGGUUGUACGAUAAUGAUCCUUCCGCAGGUUCACCUACGGAAA
Molecule: unclassified non-coding RNA, 251 nt
Filed under: uncultured fungus
Lineage: Eukaryota; Fungi
Description: sequence contains ITS1
Source: RNAcentral